GACGAACCGUGCGAACGUUAUUCGGAAUCACUGGGCUUAAAGCGCGUGUAGGCGGGACGGCACGUCCGUCGCUGAAAUCCCCCGGCUCAACCGGGGAACUGGCGGGGAUACGACCGUCCUGGAGGGACGUAGGGGGACCUGGAACUUCCGGUGGAGCGGUGAAAUGCGUUGAGAUCGGAAGGAACGCCCGUGGCGAAAGCGAGGUCCUGGACGUUUUCUGACGCUGAGACGCGAAAGCCAGGGGAGCGAACGGG
Molecule: ribosomal RNA, 254 nt
Filed under: uncultured bacterium
Lineage: Bacteria
Description: partial 16S ribosomal RNA
Rfam family: Bacterial small subunit ribosomal RNA
Source: RNAcentral